This 351-nucleotide unclassified non-coding RNA is filed under the name soil metagenome. RNAcentral's name for it is "partial contains 5.8S ribosomal RNA, internal transcribed spacer 2, and large subunit ribosomal RNA". The stretch from base 1 to 120 matches the Rfam family "5.8S ribosomal RNA", at positions 35 to 154 of the family's 154-position model. The record is from RNAcentral.
GAUGAAGAACGUAGCGAAAUGCGAUAAGUAAUGUGAAUUGCAGAAUUCAGUGAAUCAUCGAAUCUUUGAACGCACAUUGCGCCCGCCAGUAUUCUGGCGGGCAUGCCUGUUCGAGCGUCAUUACAACCCUCAGGCCCCCGGGCCUGGCGUUGGGGAUCGGCGGAGCCCCCCGUGGGCACACGCCGUCCCCCAAAUGCAGUGGCGGUCCCGCCGCAGCUUCCAUCGCGUAGUAGCUAACACCUCGCGACUGGAGAGCGGCGCGGCCACGCCGUAAAACACCCAACUCUUCUGAAGUUGACCUCGAAUCAGGUAGGAAUACCCGCUGAACUUAAGCAUAUCAAUAAGCGGGGA